GUGAGGAAUAUUGGUCAAUGGGCGAGAGCCUGAACCAGCCAAGUCGCGUGAAGGAAGAAGGAUCUAUGGUUCGUAAACUUCUUUUGCAGGGGAAUAAAGUGCAGGACGUGUCCUGUUUUGUAUGUACCCUGAGAAUAAGGAUCGGCUAACUCCGUGCCAGCAGCCGCGGUAAUACGGAGGAUCCGAGCGUUAUCCGGAUUUAUUGGGUUUAAAGGGUGCGUAGGUGGUUUGAUAAGUCAGCGGUGAAAGUUUGCAGCUUAACUGUAAAAAUGCCGUUGAAACUGUCGGACUUGAGUGUAAAUGAGGUAGGCGGAAUGCGUGGUGUAGCGGUGAAAUGCAUAGAUAUCACGCAGAACUCCGAUUGCGAAGGCAGCUUACUAAGCUACAACUGACACUGAAGCACGAAAGCGUGGGGAUCAAACAGGAUUAGAUACCCGUGUAGUCC
This 445-nucleotide ribosomal RNA is filed under the name uncultured bacterium. RNAcentral's name for it is "partial 16S ribosomal RNA". It matches the Rfam family "Bacterial small subunit ribosomal RNA", at positions 354 to 796 of the family's 1533-position model. The record is from RNAcentral.